AGUUGACACAUCAGAUUUUUCAGAUGUUCUCAGCUUGACACAUCAGUAAAAAUCUUUGUCCAAUCAAAUUAUAACAAUUAAUACAGCUCAUCAUUUUCGUCCAAUCAAAAUGCUCUCUUCUAACACAUCAUUUGUUAACAUCAUCAUCUUGGGCUUAUUACAUUUAUUCAUGGCCCAUCUUUAUGUUUUUAAAUCUUGUUAUAACCCCAAACGUGAUGGGCUGUGUUUUAAACAAACAACUAUGUACUUUCGUUUGUGGGUCGUGAACUUUGCUUUAAAUGGGUGAGAGAUGUUUGGGAUUUAAAGUAGCCUAUUUCUAUUUUGAUUAUCUUAACAGCUCAAAAAUGAUGAAGACAACAACUCUAGAGACAGAUGAGAAGCUUGUUGUCGUCUCAACAUACGUUGGAUCUCUCUUUUUGGUAAAAAAUAUAAAGUAACGCCUUGCUUACGUUUCUUCCUCUUCUUAUCAAGCACAUUCGAUAUGGUGAUCUUCCUUUCUUCGCAUCGGCGAUAAAUACAUAAGAGAACCACGGUGCUUGCAGCAGUAAACGAAGAUACCAGUGUUGGAUCAGUGUUAUCCCUCAAGUUGGUUGAAAAUCUGGGUUUGGGUCUAUUCUGUAAUGCACACGAAGUGAUCGACGAAAUUCCAGAGUUGAAAUCAACAUUUCAUCAUUAGAGAAGCAAAUACAGAAGCUUUGAGGAGAAGAACGAGCAAGACAAUCAGGUAUCGAGUCUGCAUAUUCUUCUAAGACAGAACAAAUGUCACUAAUUUGUGAUAGCUUCACAAAGAGGAACAAACGGUUUAGAGUUAUAGGCUUGAAAUCAUGUUGGUUAUCGUUUAUUUGGUGGUUUUGCUGGCUGGUUUAGAUUAUAGGAUUGAACUCUUGAAGCUAGAAUGAAGUAGGACUGUCUUGGGUUUGAUAAGGUUUAUGGCUGCAAUUUUCUGGUUUUGAUUAGCGCACACAAGAUUUUGAAAUGUGAGUGAGACUGUGAGAGAUGAUAUACCUUGAAGAAAAUUGAGUUAUUUGUGGUAGUGGAAUGCUUCAAACUCAAGGUUUUAUAACAAGAAGCUGGGAGUAUCAGCCAAAAGAACGACUUAAAAAGUAGGCUUAUAAGAAUUUCCAUGUAAUUGAGUUGCGCAGGGACUUAAAGUUUCAAACUUUGUUGAAUUAGUUGGACAUACAAAAAAAAAUGAAGUCACUGUUUCUGCCAUUCAUAUUACACUCACGUCGACGAUAAAUUUAAGUCUAACCAAGAGCACUCGCUAAGUAUAAACUGGUGUUUUUGGGAGAUCAAACCGUCGGCAAUACCAGUAUCAUCACUCGGCUCAUGUACGACAUAUUCGACAAUACUUAUCAGGCCAUGCAAUUGGUAUCGAUUUUCUAUCAAACACAAUGUACCUUGCAGAUAGAACGGUCAGACUUCAGUUGUGAUGACUCGCAGAGAUAGAGUUAAAGAAUUUGGUGAGAGACGACGACGAUGAGAGUAGAAGAGUGUCUCUGGUCUACCACGUUUCAUUAAGAUUGAGCCUUUAAGUUUGGCUUCAAUGUGAGUACUAUGUUAAAGGCCCAAUGUGAGUACUACGUGUUUUGAACAUUGAGCCUAUAACUUUGGCAUCCCUUAUUGUUUACAUGUGGUGGUGUUCAUUAAGAUUUAUGCA
This is a long non-coding RNA of Arabidopsis lyrata subsp. lyrata, 1660 nucleotides long. RefSeq lists it as uncharacterized. The record is from RefSeq and is a predicted model, not a curated record. The transcript has 3 exons. NCBI's taxonomy places the organism in Eukaryota, Viridiplantae, Streptophyta, Magnoliopsida, Brassicales, Brassicaceae.